Molecule: long non-coding RNA, 217 nt
Filed under: Elaeis guineensis (African oil palm)
Lineage: Eukaryota; Viridiplantae; Streptophyta; Magnoliopsida; Arecales; Arecaceae
Description: long non-coding RNA (EGUI_LNC062457)
Source: RNAcentral
GCCCCACUUCCUGCGAUGGAUACCGCGCGAUUCUUUCAUUCUCUGGCAAGUCGCGACAACGGACACCGCUCCGCUCCCCUUGGCAGACUCCACAUGGCACGCCCCGGUGAUAGCCACGGGUCCACUCCACUACUCUUCGCAACAAACCCCUGGGCAGUCCACUGCCAGACAGUUACAAACAUCGCUGUCAGUCUGUUGCUCCCUUCGCCUAUAAAAG